GUGCCUAAAAUAACGCUAAAUUAAGGGGUUUUUAUGACCUUGCAAGACUCAUAAUCUUUUGGUCCUAGGUUCAAGUCCUAGUGGGCCCA
Molecule: transfer RNA, 89 nt
Filed under: Gammaproteobacteria bacterium
Lineage: Bacteria; Pseudomonadati; Pseudomonadota; Gammaproteobacteria
Description: tRNA-Leu
Rfam family: tRNA (bases 26-89)
About the family: Transfer RNA (tRNA) molecules are approximately 80 nucleotides in length. Their secondary structure includes four short double-helical elements and three loops (D, anti-codon, and T loops). Further hydrogen bonds mediate the characteristic L-shaped molecular structure. tRNAs have two regions of fundamental functional importance: the anti-codon, which is responsible for specific mRNA codon recognition, and the 3' end, to which the tRNAs corresponding amino acid is attached (by aminoacyl-tRNA synthetases). tRNAs cope with the degeneracy of the genetic code in two manners: having more than one tRNA (with a specific anti-codon) for a particular amino acid; and 'wobble' base-pairing, i.e. permitting non-standard base-pairing at the 3rd anti-codon position.
Source: RNAcentral